This 1579-nucleotide ribosomal RNA is filed under the name metagenome. Its description in RNAcentral is "bacterial LSU rRNA". It matches the Rfam family "Bacterial large subunit ribosomal RNA", at positions 1277 to 2925 of the family's 2925-position model. The record is from RNAcentral.
UUAUAUCACAAGUGAGAAUGCCGGAAUGAGUAGCGAGAAUUAUGUGAGAAUCAUAAUGGUCGAAAAUCUAAGGUUUCUUGAGGAAGGUUCGUCCGCUCAAGGUAAGCCGGGAGCUAAGGCGAGGCCGAGAGGCGUAGUCGAUGCACAUACGGUAAAGAUUCCGUAGCCACCGAAGUCGUUAAAUACAGGGACACAGGAACAUAGCCUAACCCCGCCGUUGGUUGAGUGGGGCGUAAGGGAGCGAAAAUUAGUAGCGAAGUAGGUGAUUGUACACUGGCGAGAAAAGCUGUAUGUAUUGAUAAGGUGCCCGUACCGCAAACCGACACAGGUAGAUGAGGAGAGAAUCCUAAGACCAGCGGGAGAAGUGUUGUUAAGGAACGCGGCAAAAUGACCCCGUAACUUCGGGAUAAGGGGAGCCUACGCGAGUAGGCCGCAGAGAAUAGUCUCAAGCGACUGUUUAGCAAAAACACAGGUCUAUGCUAAAUCGAAAGAUGAUGUAUAUGGGCUGACGCCUGCCCGGUGCUGGAAGGUUAAGGGGAAGUGUUAGAGCAAUCGAAGCACUGAACUUAAGCCCCAGUAAACGGCGGCCGUAACGAUAACGGUCCUAAGGUAGCGAAAUUCCUUGUCAGGUAAGUUCUGACCCGCACGAAUGGCGUAACGACUUGAGAGCUGUCUCAACAACAUACCCGGCGAAAUUGAAGUACUGGUAAAGAUGCCAGUUACCCGUGAUAAGACGGAAAGACCCCAUGGAGCUUUACUGUAACUUGAUAUUGAAUUUUUGUAUUACAUGUACAGGAUAGGUGGGAGACAGAGAACUAAUGCCGCCAGGUGUUAGGGAGUCGAUGUUGGGAUACCACUCUUGUAAUAUGAAGGUUCUAACCUGCACCCGUGAAUCCGGGUGGGGGACACUGUCAGGUGGACAGUUUGACUGGGGCGGUCGCCUCCUAAAAGGUAACGGAGGCGUUCAAAGGUUGGUUCAGCACGGACGGAAAUCGUGCAACGAGUGCAAACGCAUAAACCAGCCUAACUGCGAGACCGACAAGUCGAGCAGUAACGAAAGUUGGAGUUAGUGAUCCGGCGGUAUGAGAGUGGAAUUGCCGUCGCUCAACGGAUAAAAGCUACCCUGGGGAUAACAGGCUGAUCUCCCCCAAGAGUCCACAUCGACGGGGAGGUUUGGCACCUCGAUGUCGGCUCAUCGCAUCCUGGAGCUGUAGUCGGUUCCAAGGGUUGGGCUGUUCGCCCAUUAAAGCGGUACGCGAGCUGGGUUCAGAACGUCGCGAGACAGUUCGGUCCCUAUCUAUCACGGGCGUAGGAAAUUUGAGGAGAGCUGACCUUAGUACGAGAGGACCGGGUUGGACGUACCGCUGGUGCACCUGUUGUUCUGCCAAGGGCAUAGCAGGGUAGCUAAGUACGGACGGGAUAAACGCUGAAGGCAUCUAAGCGUGAAGCCCCCUUCGAGAUAAGAUUUCCCAUAGCGUAGGCUAGUAAGGACCCAUGAAGACUACAUGGUUGAUAGGCCGGAGGUGGAAGUGCAGUAAUGUAUGUAGCUGACCGGUACUAAUAGUCCGAGGGCUUGACC